RNAcentral lists this ribosomal RNA (468 nucleotides) under uncultured bacterium. RNAcentral's name for it is "partial 16S ribosomal RNA". It matches the Rfam family "Bacterial small subunit ribosomal RNA", at positions 28 to 507 of the family's 1533-position model. The record is from RNAcentral.
GACGAACGCUGGCGGCGUGCUUAACACAUGCCAGUCGAACGGAAAGGCCCUGCUUUUGUGGGGUGCUCGAGUGGCGAACGGGUGAGUAACACGUGAGUAACCGGCCCUAGACUUUGGGAUAACUUCAGGAAACUGGGGCUAAUACCGGAUAGGAGCUCCUGCUGCAUGGUGGGGGUUGGAAAGUUUCGGCGGUUGGGGAUGGACGCGCGGCUUAUCAGCUUGUUGGUGGGGUAGUGGCUUACCAAGGCUUUGACGGGUAGCCGGCCUGGGAGGGUGACCGGCCACAUUGGGACUGAGAUACGGCCCAGACUCCUACGGGAGGCAGCAGUGGGGAAUAUUGCACAAUGGGCGGAAGCCUGAUGCAGCAACGCCGCGUGCGGGAUGACGGCCUUCGGGUUGUAAACCGCUUUCGCCUGUGACGAAGCGUGAGUGACGGUAAUGGGUAAAGAAGCACCGGCUAACUACGUG